CCCUUAGAUGUUCUGGGCCGCACGCGCGCUACACUGAUGAAUUCAACGAGUUUUCCACCUUGGCCGAAAGGUCUGGGUAAUCUCCAAAUUUCGUCGUGAUGGGGAUAGAUUAUUGCAAUUAUUAAUCUUCAACGAGGAAUGCCUAGUAAGCGCAAGUCAUCAGCUUGCGUUGAUUACGUCCCUGCCCUUUGUACACACCGCCCGUCGCUCCUACCGAUUGAAUGGUCCGGUGAAGCGUUCGGACCGUGGCCUUUGGACGGUUCGCCGUCUGUUGGCUGCGGGAAGUUCGUUAAACCUUAUCAUUUAGAGGAAGGAGAAGUCGUAACA
RNAcentral lists this ribosomal RNA (327 nucleotides) under uncultured eukaryote. Its description in RNAcentral is "partial 18S ribosomal RNA". It matches the Rfam family "Eukaryotic small subunit ribosomal RNA", at positions 1470 to 1796 of the family's 1831-position model. The record is from RNAcentral.